CCUACGGGAGGCAGCAGUGGGGGAUAUUGCACAAUGGGGGAAACCCUGAUGCAGCGACGCCGCGUGUGGGAAGACGGUCCUCUGGAUUGUAAACCACUGUCCCCAGGGACGAAGAUUACGGUACCGGGGGAGGAAGCUCCGGCUAACUACGUGCCAGCAGCCGCGGUAAUACGUAGGGAGCGAGCGUUGUCCGGAAUUACUGGGUGUAAAGGGAGCGUAGGCGGGACUGCAAGUUGGGUGUCAAAUCUACCGGCUCAACCGGUAGCCGCACUCAAAACUGCAGUUCUUGAGUGAAGUAGAGGCAGGCGGAAUUCCUAGUGUAGCGGUGAAAUGCGUAGAUAUUAGGAGGAACACCAGUGGCGAAGGCGGCCUGCUGGGCUUUUACUGACGCUGAGGCUCGAAAGUGUGGGGAGCAAACAGGAUUAGAUACCCCAGUAGUC
RNAcentral lists this ribosomal RNA (440 nucleotides) under uncultured bacterium. RNAcentral describes it as "partial 16S ribosomal RNA". It matches the Rfam family "Bacterial small subunit ribosomal RNA", at positions 338 to 795 of the family's 1533-position model. The record is from RNAcentral.